UACGUAGGUGGCAAGCGUUGUCCGGAUUUAUUGGGUUUAAAGGGUGCGUAGGUGGCUAUCUAAGUCAGUGGUGAAAUAUCUCAGCUUAACUGAGAGGGUGCCAUUGAUACUGGAUAGCUUGAGUACAGAUGAGGUAGGCGGAAUUGACGGUGUAGCGGUGAAAUGCAUAGAUAUCGUCAAGAACACCGAUAGCGAAGGCAGCUUACCAAGCUGUAACUGACACUGAGGCACGAAAGUGUGGGGAGCGAACAGG
Molecule: ribosomal RNA, 253 nt
Filed under: uncultured bacterium
Lineage: Bacteria
Description: partial 16S ribosomal RNA
Rfam family: Bacterial small subunit ribosomal RNA
Source: RNAcentral